This 253-nucleotide ribosomal RNA is filed under the name uncultured bacterium. RNAcentral's name for it is "partial 16S ribosomal RNA". It matches the Rfam family "Bacterial small subunit ribosomal RNA", at positions 524 to 776 of the family's 1533-position model. The record is from RNAcentral.
UACGUAGGGUGCGAGCGUUGUCCGGAAUUAUUGGGCGUAAAGAGCUUGUAGGCGGUUUGUCGCGUCUGCUGUGAAAAUCCGGGGCUCAACCCCGGACUUGCAGUGGGUACGGGCAGGCUAGAGUGUGGUAGGGGAGACUGGAAUUCCUGGUGUAGCGGUGAAAUGCGCAGAUAUCAGGAGGAACACCGGUGGCGAAGGCGGGUCUCUGGGCAGUAACUGACGCUGAGGAGCGAAAGCGUGGGUAGCGAACAGG